RNAcentral lists this transfer RNA (97 nucleotides) under Anabaena minutissima FACHB-250. RNAcentral describes it as "tRNA-OTHER". It matches the Rfam family "tRNA". Rfam says of the family: Transfer RNA (tRNA) molecules are approximately 80 nucleotides in length. Their secondary structure includes four short double-helical elements and three loops (D, anti-codon, and T loops). The record is from RNAcentral. Lineage: Bacteria; Bacillati; Cyanobacteriota; Cyanophyceae; Nostocales; Nostocaceae.
GGUGCUGUAGGCAAAUUGGUAAAGCCACCUGUCUUACCCUUCGGGAAGGCUAACGCCUACAAGCAGGAGAUUGCGGGUUCAAGCCCCGUCAGCACUG